UCAAUUUUCAUAGUGUGGACUUGAGUCAGA
Molecule: non-coding RNA, 30 nt
Filed under: Homo sapiens (human)
Lineage: Eukaryota; Metazoa; Chordata; Mammalia; Primates; Hominidae
Source: RNAcentral